Molecule: ribosomal RNA, 258 nt
Filed under: uncultured bacterium
Lineage: Bacteria
Description: partial 16S ribosomal RNA
Rfam family: Bacterial small subunit ribosomal RNA
Source: RNAcentral
GAUCAUGGCUCAGGAUGAACGCUAGCUACAGGCUUAACACAUGCAAGUCGAGGGGAAACGACAUCGAAAGCUUGCUUUUGAUGGGCGUCGACCGGCGCACGGGUGAGUAACGCGUAUCCAACCUGCCGAUAACUCGGGGAUAACCCUUCGAAAGAAGGCCUAAUACCCGAUGGCAUAUCCCUUCCGCCUGGUUGGGAUAUUAAAGAACUUCGGUUAUCGAUGGGGAUGCGUUCCAUUAGCUUGUUGGCGGGGUAACGG